Long non-coding RNA from Mustela lutreola (European mink), 907 nucleotides. RefSeq lists it as uncharacterized. The record is from RefSeq and is a predicted model, not a curated record. NCBI's taxonomy places the organism in Eukaryota, Metazoa, Chordata, Mammalia, Carnivora, Mustelidae. The transcript is spliced from 6 exons.
AGCAACCACACCCUCCCCAGAAGCGUGUUGCUUCUUUACCUUCGGACUCGUCUUCAGCUCCGUCUCUGGACGUUUUGCAGAAGUCAUUUCUGCAAAGGCGGCAAAGCAAAAUGUCAGUGCAGUCCUGUCUCAGCUGCAAAGCAGAAUGCCAGGACUGUUUUAUUGUAGCUGUCCUGACUCUGUAUUUUCUUGCCGGGGACCCUGGCCCUGACCACCUAAAUGUCCAACUAACUCCUAACACAUGGACCAGGUGCCGAGAGCCAGGGAGCUCCCAGGGACCAGGCAGGAGGUGGCUGCUGGCACGAGGAAGGUCGGUGGGGAGGCAGGAUGACCUGAAUACCAGGGAGUGGACACUGGGGAGCUCUGCCCAGCAUAGGAAGCUGUCUUAAGAAAGGGGGCCAAGGACACCCCCUCCCCAGCACAUACAUUUGGUGGCUUGCAGUUUUCUUUUUUCCUGAGCUCUCCUCUGGCCUGCUGCAUUCCCAUACAAUUAAGAGGAUAGGGAGCCUGGGUUUUGAAGGUCAUGAAAGGCGCUAGGAGUGAGACUCUGAGGCAGAGAAUGAGGAGGAGAGAGCUGGCGCGCAGCUGGAACUCUGAGGCCAGGUGUUGUUGGAGACCUGUGUCAGGACAAGAUGAAUCCAGCUGCCAAUCCCUGGUGAGAUCCUGGUGCAUCGGGUAGUCAGGAAGGAGAACCAUCCCAGUGGGAGGAUGGAAACCCAGAAGACACCUUUAAUUCUUUCCCGGAGACACACCCAGGAAGUGAGAAGAUGACAUUAUUAUUUCUUAAUGUCUGGAUUUCUUUUCUAAUUACAAAGAAACACGUAAAUGACUGUAGGAAACUUGGAAAACAGAAACACACGAAGAUGGAAUAAAAAGCACCCAUGAUCCAAGUUAAGGGCUGUUAACA